AGUGGCGAACGGGUGAGUAAUGCAUCGGAACGUACCGUGUAGUGGGGGAUAACGUAACGAAAGUUACCCUAAUAACCCAUACCCCCUGAGGGGGAAAGUGGGGGACCGCAAGGCCUCACGCUAUAUGAGCGGCCGAUGUCGGAUUAGCCAGUUGGUAGGGUAAAGGCCUACCAAGGCGACGAUCCGUAGCGGGUCUGAGAGGGAGAUCCCCCCACACUGGGACUGAGACACGGCCCAGACUCCUACGGGAGGCAGCAGUGGGGGAAUUUUGGACAAUGGGCGCAAGCCUGAUCCAGCCAUGCCGCGUGAGUGAAGAAGGCCUUCGGGUUGUAAAGCUCUUUCAGACGGAAAGAAAUCUCUCGGGAUAACACCCUGGGGAGGAUGACGAUACCGUAAGAAGAAGCACCGGCUAACUACGUGCCAGCAGCCGCGGUAAUACGUAGGGUGCGAGCGUUAAUCGGAAUUACUGGGCGUAAAGCGUGCGCAGGCGGUGAUGUAAGACAGAUGUGAAAUCCCCGGGCUCAACCUGGGAACUGCGUUUGUGACUGCAUCACUCGAGUACGCAGAAGAGAGGUGGAAUUCCGCGUGUAGCAGUGAAAUGCGUAGAUUAUGCGGAGAACACGAAUGGCGAAGCAGCCUCCUGGGCCAGUACUGACGCUCAUGCACGAAAGCGUGGG
This 677-nucleotide ribosomal RNA is filed under the name uncultured Zoogloea sp. RNAcentral describes it as "bacterial SSU rRNA". It matches the Rfam family "Bacterial small subunit ribosomal RNA", at positions 94 to 765 of the family's 1533-position model. Lineage: Bacteria; Pseudomonadati; Pseudomonadota; Betaproteobacteria; Rhodocyclales; Zoogloeaceae. The record is from RNAcentral.